This 109-nucleotide small nuclear RNA is filed under the name Salvator merianae (Argentine black and white tegu). The record is from RNAcentral. Lineage: Eukaryota; Metazoa; Chordata; Lepidosauria; Squamata; Teiidae.
AUCCUGAGCUAAGGACAGCAUAUAUGAUAAAAUCAGAGUGAUACAGAGAAGAUUGUCAUGGCACCUGUGCAAAGAUGACACACAAAUUUAGGAAGUAUUCCAUAUUAAA